AAUUACCCACUCCCAGCACGGGGAGGUAGUGACGAAAAAUAACGAUACGGGACUCAUCCGAGGCCCCGUAAUCGGAAUGAGUACACUUUAAAACUUUUCCCGAGGAUCAAUUGGAGGGUAAGUCUGGUGCCAGCAGCCGCGGUAAUUCCAGCUCCAAUAGCGUAUAUUAAAGUUGUUGCGGUUAAAAAGCUCGUAGUCGAAUCUGUGUCCCGCGCCGCUGGUUCAUCGCUCGCGGUGUUCAACUGGCGUGUCUCGCGGGACGUCCUGCCGGUGGGCGCUCGUAUCGCUUCGGCGGUGCGUGGCCCAACUCGUAGUCGUCUCGCGCGAUUGCGAAUCCCAUCGCGGUGCUCUUUAUCGGGUGUCGAGGUGGGCCGGCACGUUUACUUUGAACAAAUUAGAGUGCUUAAAGCAGGCCAAUUUUGCCUGAAUAUUGUGUGCAUGGAAUAAUGAAAUAGGACCUCGGUUCUAUUUUGUUGGUUUUCGGAACCCCGAGGUAAUGAUUAAUAGGAACGGAUGGGGGCAUUCGUAUUGCGACGUUAGAGGUGAAAUUCUUGGAUCGUCGCAAGACGGACAGAAGCGAAAGCAUUUGCCAAAAACGUUUUCAUUGAUCAAGAACGAAAGUUAGAGGUUCGAAGGCGAUCAGAUACCGCCCUAGUUCUAACCAUAAACGAUGCCAGCUAGCGAUCCGCCGACGUUCCUCCGAUGACUCGGCGGGCAGCUUCCGGGAAACCAAAGCUUUUGGGUUCCGGGGGAAGUAUGGUUGCAAAGCUGAAACUUAAAGGAAUUGACGGAAGGGCACCACCAGGAGUGGAGCCUGCGGCUUAAUUUGACUCAACACGGGACACCUCACCAGGCCCGGACACCGGAAGGAUUGACAGAUUGAUAGCUCUUUCUUGAUUCGGUGGGUGGUGGUGCAUGGCCGUU
RNAcentral lists this ribosomal RNA (924 nucleotides) under Dinaraea aequata. RNAcentral's name for it is "SSU rRNA". It matches the Rfam family "Eukaryotic small subunit ribosomal RNA", at positions 439 to 1292 of the family's 1831-position model. The record is from RNAcentral. Lineage: Eukaryota; Metazoa; Arthropoda; Insecta; Coleoptera; Staphylinidae.